GCGUACACGGUGGAUGCCCUGGCAGUCAGAGGCGAUGAAGGACGUGCUAAUCUGCGAUAAGCGUCGGUAAGGUGAUAUGAACCGUUAUAACCGGCGAUUUCCGAAUGGGGAAACCCAGUGUGAUUCGUCACACUAUCAUUAACUGAAUCCAUAGGUUAAUGAGGCGAACCGGGGGAACUGAAACAUCUAAGUACCCCGAGGAAAAGAAAUCAACCGAGAUUCCCCCAGUAGCGGCGAGCGAACGGGGAGCAGCCCAGAGCCUGAAUCAGUGUGUGUGUUAGUGGAAGCGUCUGGAAAGGCGUGCGAUACAGGGUGACAGCCCCGUACACAAAAAUGCACAUACUGUGAGCUCGAUGAGUAGGGCGGGACACGUGGUAUCCUGUCUGAAUAUGGGGGGACCAUCCUCCAAGGCUAAAUACUCCUGACUGACCGAUAGUGAACCAGUACCGUGAGGGAAAGGCGAAAAGAACCCCGGCGAGGGGAGUGAAAAAGAACCUGAAACCGUGUACGUACAAGCAGUGGGAGCACGCUUAGGCGUGUGACUGCGUACCUUUUGUAUAAUGGGUCAGCGACUUAUAUUCUGUAGCAAGGUUAACCGAAUAGGGGAGCCGAAGGGAAACCGAGUCUUAACUGGGCGUUAAGUUGCAGGGUAUAGACCCGAAACCCGGUGAUCUAGCCAUGGGCAGGUUGAAGGUUGGGUAACACUAACUGGAGGACCGAACCGACUAAUGUUGAAAAAUUAGCGGAUGACUUGUGGCUGGGGGUGAAAGGCCAAUCAAACCGGGAGAUAGCUGGUUCUCCCCGAAAGCUAUUUAGGUAGCGCCUCGUGAAUUCAUCUCCGGGGGUAGAGCACUGUUUCGGCAAGGGGGUCAUCCCGACUUACCAACCCGAUGCAAACUGCGAAUACCGGAGAAUGUUAUCACGGGAGACACACGGCGGGUGCUAACGUCCGUCGUGAAGAGGGAAACAACCCAGACCGCCAGCUAAGGUCCCAAAGUCAUGGUUAAGUGGGAAACGAUGUGGGAAGGCCCAGACAGCCAGGAUGUUGGCUUAGAAGCAGCCAUCAUUUAAAGAAAGCGUAAUAGCUCACUGGUCGAGUCGGCCUGCGCGGAAGAUGUAACGGGGCUAAACCAUGCACCGAAGCUGCGGCAGCGACGCUUAUGCGUUGUUGGGUAGGGGAGCGUUCUGUAAGCCUGUGAAGGUGUGCUGUGAGGUAUGCUGGAGGUAUCAGAAGUGCGAAUGCUGACAUAAGUAACGAUAAAGCGGGUGAAAAGCCCGCUCGCCGGAAGACCAAGGGUUCCUGUCCAACGUUAAUCGGGGCAGGGUGAGUCGACCCCUAAGGCGAGGCCGAAAGGCGUAGUCGAUGGGAAACAGGUUAAUAUUCCUGUACUUGGUGUUACUGCGAAGGGGGGACGGAGAAGGCUAUGUUGGCCGGGCGACGGUUGUCCCGGUUUAAGCGUGUAGGCUGGUUUUCCAGGCAAAUCCGGAAAAUCAAGGCCGAGGCGUGAUGACGAGGCACUACGGUGCUGAAGCAACAAAUGCCCUGCUUCCAGGAAAAGCCUCUAAGCAUCAGGUAACAUCAAAUCGUACCCCAAACCGACACAGGUGGUCAGGUAGAGAAUACCAAGGCGCUUGAGAGAACUCGGGUGAAGGAACUAGGCAAAAUGGUGCCGUAACUUCGGGAGAAGGCACGCUGAUACGUAGGUGAAGCGACUUGCUCGUGGAGCUGAAAUCAGUCGAAGAUACCAGCUGGCUGCAACUGUUUAUUAAAAACACAGCACUGUGCAAACACGAAAGUGGACGUAUACGGUGUGACGCCUGCCCGGUGCCGGAAGGUUAAUUGAUGGGGUUAGCGCAAGCGAAGCUCUUGAUCGAAGCCCCGGUAAACGGCGGCCGUAACUAUAACGGUCCUAAGGUAGCGAAAUUCCUUGUCGGGUAAGUUCCGACCUGCACGAAUGGCGUAAUGAUGGCCAGGCUGUCUCCACCCGAGACUCAGUGAAAUUGAACUCGCUGUGAAGAUGCAGUGUACCCGCGGCAAGACGGAAAGACCCCGUGAACCUUUACUAUAGCUUGACACUGAACAUUGAGCCUUGAUGUGUAGGAUAGGUGGGAGGCUUUGAAGUGUGGACGCCAGUCUGCAUGGAGCCGACCUUGAAAUACCACCCUUUAAUGUUUGAUGUUCUAACGUGGACCCGUGAUCCGGGUUGCGGACAGUGUCUGGUGGGUAGUUUGACUGGGGCGGUCUCCUCCUAAAGAGUAACGGAGGAGCACGAAGGUUGGCUAAUCCUGGUCGGACAUCAGGAGGUUAGUGCAAUGGCAUAAGCCAGCUUGACUGCGAGCGUGACGGCGCGAGCAGGUGCGAAAGCAGGUCAUAGUGAUCCGGUGGUUCUGAAUGGAAGGGCCAUCGCUCAACGGAUAAAAGGUACUCCGGGGAUAACAGGCUGAUACCGCCCAAGAGUUCAUAUCGACGGCGGUGUUUGGCACCUCGAUGUCGGCUCAUCACAUCCUGGGGCUGAAGUAGGUCCCAAGGGUAUGGCUGUUCGCCAUUUAAAGUGGUACGCGAGCUGGGUUUAGAACGUCGUGAGACAGUUCGGUCCCUAUCUGCCGUGGGCGCUGGAGAACUGAGGGGGGCUGCUCCUAGUACGAGAGGACCGGAGUGGACGCAUCACUGGUGUUCGGGUUGUCAUGCCAAUGGCACUGCCCGGUAGCUAAAUGCGGAAGAGAUAAGUGCUGAAAGCAUCUAAGCACGAAACUUGCCCCGAGAUGAGUUCUCCCUGACCCUUUAAGGGUCCUGAAGGAACGUUGAAGACGACGACGUUGAUAGGCCGGGUGUGUAAGCGCAGCGAUGCGUUGAGCUAACCGGUACUAAUGAACCGUGAGGCUUAACCUUACAACGCCGAAG
This 2902-nucleotide ribosomal RNA is filed under the name Shigella flexneri. RNAcentral's name for it is "partial 23S ribosomal RNA". It matches the Rfam family "Bacterial large subunit ribosomal RNA". Lineage: Bacteria; Pseudomonadati; Pseudomonadota; Gammaproteobacteria; Enterobacterales; Enterobacteriaceae. The record is from RNAcentral.